Molecule: long non-coding RNA, 356 nt
Filed under: Pan troglodytes (chimpanzee)
Lineage: Eukaryota; Metazoa; Chordata; Mammalia; Primates; Hominidae
Description: long non-coding RNA NONPTRT016795
Source: RNAcentral
CACAAGACUACCCCCUUCACAUGCCAGCAGCAAAUAUGGGGCCCAAGUUACCCACAUUUCUGCCCAGCUGACUACAACUUCUGGUUUCCAUGACCCCCUCUCAGGUUUGAUAGUUUGCUAGAACAACUCACAAAGUGAAGGAAAAUGGUGUACUUACUAUUACUGGCUUAUUAUAAAAGCUACAACUCAGAAACAGCCAAAAGGAGGAGAUGCACAGAGCAAGGUGUGACCAGUCCGCAUCCUGAUACUGUCUCGGAGUCCCCCAGCCAAGAAUCAUCUCAUCAGCAUAAACUCAGGCAAUGCUGAAAGGUGCUUGUUAUGGAUAACAAAAGGCAGUCCUAACACUAAGGAAUUUC